GAGGUGCUAGUCAAGUUAUAACAAUGCCUUGUCAAGGCAUAAUCACGGGUUAAACCCCCGUGCACCUCU
RNAcentral lists this transfer RNA (69 nucleotides) under Kaloula latidisca. RNAcentral's name for it is "tRNA-Asp". It matches the Rfam family "tRNA". Rfam says of the family: Transfer RNA (tRNA) molecules are approximately 80 nucleotides in length. Lineage: Eukaryota; Metazoa; Chordata; Amphibia; Anura; Microhylidae. The record is from RNAcentral.